Molecule: long non-coding RNA, 396 nt
Organism: Gasterosteus aculeatus aculeatus (three-spined stickleback)
Lineage: Eukaryota; Metazoa; Chordata; Actinopteri; Perciformes; Gasterosteidae
Source: Ensembl
UGAACUGGAACAUUAAAGCCUUAAGAAGGCAGCAAUGCGACAUAUUCCCGUAGUACCUGCAAGAAGAUGAUAGAAUGAUAAAUAUCAGUAGCGACGCACGGACGUUUAGGCGGAACUAAAGUUUGUGCUGCAGUUUCUUUCAGGGUCUAAUAAUUGUCACGGACUCCCGGAAAUGGUUGCAAAUUUAAACCGCCAUCACAGACACAUUAAAGGCUUAACGUUAAUACUUUCAAAUAACACGCUGCUCCGACAAUUGGCAAUUUAUGAAAAUUAAGCUGAGCUCUAACAGAUAAUUAAUUUAAGAGUGAGUCCUCCCACCUCAGCUCUGAAGCACCUGUUGCCGUAGUGAUUUUCUUAAGCUGAUGUGAAAACCCCAACUGAAGUAAUCCAAACUGA